UUUCCCUCCCCCUCUCUCCAGCCUCAGUGGCUGAUUUUAUUCUCACUGUACACUUUACUAUUGCUUGCAAUGUGACACUAAAAUAUAUACUCUCUCUCACACACACACACCACAUACACACACACACACACACUCAUGCACGCACACAGACACACACAUUCACACAUACCUACACACACACAUACACACACAGCACUGGGGUAUCCAAAGUGGAAUACUAAAGGAGAUACAUAUAUAACAAAAAGCAACAAGAAGGGAAACCAAUCUUGCCAAACAAGGAACUAUUUUUUUAUAACUCUUAUUUCUUCUGAAACAUGUUUGGGUCUACCAUGGCACUGGAUUUUGUAGUGGUUUUCUGCUUGGCAUCUGCAAUUGCAGCAGUGGAAGAAACCUUGAUGGAUACCCGGACGGCUACAGCUGAGCUGGGCUGGACUGCAAACCCUCCUUCAGGGUGGGAAGAAGUCAGCGGCUAUGAUGAGAACCUGAACACCAUCCGCACUUACCAGGUGUGCAAUGUCUUCGAACCCAAUCAGAACAACUGGCUCCUCACCACGUUCAUAAACAGACGGGGCGCUCACCGCAUCUACACCGAGAUGCGCUUCACUGUGCGGGACUGCAGCAGCCUCCCCAAUGUCCCUGGCUCCUGCAAGGAAACCUUCAACCUGUACUACUACGAGACGGACUCUAUCAUUGCCACCAAGAAGUCGGCCUUCUGGACGGAGGCGCCCUACCUCAAAGUGGACACAAUUGCUGCUGAUGAGAGCUUCUCUCAGGUAGACUUUGGGGGCCGGUUGAUGAAGGUGAACACCGAGGUGAGGAGCUUCGGACCACUCACCCGCAAUGGUUUUUACCUCGCCUUCCAGGACUAUGGGGCUUGCAUGUCACUGCUCUCGGUCAGGGUUUUCUUCAAGAAGUGCCCAAGCGUGGUGCAGAACUUUGCCAUCUUCCCAGAGACCAUGACUGGGGCAGAGAGCACCUCUCUGGUGAUUGCACGUGGCACCUGCAUUCCCAAUGCCGAGGAGGUGGAUGUGCCCAUUAAGCUGUACUGCAAUGGUGAUGGGGAGUGGAUGGUUCCCAUUGGCCGCUGCACUUGCAAGGCCGGCUACGAGGCUGAGAACAAUGUGGUCUGCAAAGCUUGUCCAGCAGGGAUGUUUAAGGCCACGCAGGGUGUGGGGAGCUGUGCCCAGUGUCCCACCAACAGUCGCUCCACGUCGGAGGCUUCUCCCAUCUGCACCUGCCGCAAUGGCUACUAUCGUGCUGAUUUUGACCCACCAGAGGCAGCCUGCACCAGUGUCCCAUCAGGGCCCCGCAACGUUAUCUCCAUUGUCAAUGAGACGUCCAUUAUCCUAGAGUGGCACCCACCCCGGGAGACAGGCGGGCGUGAUGACGUGACCUACGACAUCGUCUGUAAGAAGUGCCGGCCUGACCGCCGCAGUUGCUCCCGCUGCGAUGACAACGUGGAGUUUGUACCCAGGCAGCUGGGCCUGACGGAGACCCGGGUCUUCAUCAGCAGCCUCUGGGCCCACACGCCGUACACCUUCGAGAUCCAGGCUGUUAAUGGCAUCUCUAGCAAGAGCCCCUUCCCCCCGCAGCAUGUGUCGGUGAACAUCACCACAAACCAAGCUGCUCCCUCCACAGUUCCCAUCAUGCACCAGGUAAGUGCCACCAUGAGGAGCAUCACGCUGUCGUGGCCUCAGCCAGAGCAGCCCAACGGCAUCAUCCUGGACUACGAGAUCCGUUACUAUGAGAAGGUGAGCCGGAUCUGCCACCCCGAGAUCAGCAGCACUGUGGGCUCACGACCAGCCACCGACCACAAUGAGUACAAUUCGUCCAUGGCCAAGAGUCAGACCAACACAGCCAGGAUUGAGGGGCUGAGGCCUGGCAUGGUGUAUGUGGUACAGGUGCGAGCCCGGACAGUGGCUGGCUAUGGGAAAUACAGCGGGAAAAUGUGCUUCCAAACACUGACAGAUGAUGACUACAAGUCGGAGCUGAGGGAGCAGUUGCCUUUGAUCGCAGGGUCUGCAGCGGCUGGUGUGGUCUUCAUUGUCUCGCUGGUGGCUAUUUCAAUCGUCUGCAGCAGGAAGCGGGCUUACAGCAAAGAGGCCGUGUACAGUGAUAAAUUACAGCACUACAGCACUGGCCGAGGCUCUCCAGGGAUGAAGAUCUACAUUGACCCCUUCACUUAUGAGGACCCCAACGAGGCUGUCCGCGAGUUUGCCAAGGAGAUUGACGUCUCCUUCGUGAAGAUUGAAGAAGUCAUUGGAGCAGGGGAGUUUGGAGAAGUGUAUAAAGGACGUCUGAAGCUGCCCAGCAAGAGGGAAAUCUAUGUGGCCAUUAAGACAUUAAAGGCUGGCUACUCUGAGAAGCAGCGUAGGGAUUUCCUGAGUGAGGCCAGCAUCAUGGGACAGUUUGACCACCCAAAUAUCAUUCGGCUGGAAGGAGUGGUGACCAAAAGCCGGCCAGUCAUGAUCAUCACAGAGUUUAUGGAGAAUGGAGCUCUGGACUCCUUUCUGAGGCAAAACGACGGGCAGUUCACAGUCAUCCAGCUGGUGGGGAUGCUCAGGGGAAUUGCUGCGGGAAUGAAGUACCUUGCGGAGAUGAACUACGUGCACCGGGACCUUGCCGCCAGAAACAUCCUGGUCAAUAGUAACUUGGUGUGCAAAGUGUCUGACUUUGGCCUCUCACGCUACCUGCAAGAUGAUACCUCUGACCCAACCUAUACUAGCUCCUUGGGUGGGAAGAUCCCGGUGAGGUGGACAGCCCCCGAGGCCAUCGCCUACCGCAAGUUCACCUCCGCUAGUGAUGUCUGGAGUUACGGCAUUGUCAUGUGGGAAGUGAUGUCCUUUGGAGAGAGGCCGUAUUGGGACAUGUCCAACCAAGAUGUAAUCAAUGCAAUUGAGCAAGAUUACCGUCUUCCCCCUCCUAUGGACUGCCCAGCUGCACUGCACCAGCUCAUGCUAGACUGCUGGCAGAAAGACCGCAACACCCGCCCUCGCUUCACCGAGAUAGUCAACACCCUAGAUAAAAUGAUCCGUAACCCGGCAAGCCUCAAAACUGUGGCUACCAUCACCGCUGUGCCUUCUCAGCCACUGUUAGACCCCUCCAUCCCAGAUUUCACUGCCUUUACCUCAGUAGAAGAUUGGUUAAGCGCCAUUAAAAUGAGCCAGUACAGAGACAACUUCCUGACUGCUGGCUUCACCUCCCUCCAGCUUGUUGCCCAGAUGACCUCAGAAGAUCUCCUGAGAAUAGGGGUGACUUUGGCCGGACACCAGAAGAAGAUUCUGAACAGUGUCCAGUCUAUGAGAGUACAGAUGAGUCAGUCUCCAACCUCGAUGGCAUGACGUCUCUCAUUUUAUGGGGAUGGGAAACAGAGGGGAAGCAAUGAAGGGUCAGAGGUGGGACGGGAGGAACAGACUGACAAAGCAGUGAAAAAUGUGGAAGGGUUGAAUUAUCGUCUGAGAACUGUAGCAGCUGCAGACAAAGAACACAUGGGACUCGUUUCUAACCGGCAGCUUCCGUUUCUCGCUAACAGAAGCACACUUACCAAUGCCAGGGGAAACAGCAUAUAAAUAAAUAUAAAUAUGUACAAAUCAUAUAUUUAAAAGACAAUGAAGACAAACCAAUGUGUGUUGGGAAAAAAAUAGACUCCAAUCCCACCACCAGUGAGCAGUAGUCAAAACUGAUAAGAAACAAGGGGCCAGUGGGGUGGGGAGAGGUGCAAGAAUUGAGUUCCCAACCCAGAGAAACCAUCUUCACAACAACAUUCCUUUUCUUUUCUUCUUUUGCUCCCCUCCCUGACCCUCUCUUCCACACCCCAUUCCCUUUCUACUCAUGAUCUAUGUGGAAGUGUCUUCAAAAGUCUCCACAGCUACCUACUGUAAUAUCAAGAUGUUGUUCUGUCAAGUACCAAAGGACUUCACUGACCACUGCAUGGGGGAUCCAAAUAAAUCCAGUUAAUGUCUUCAUAUUGAAGAAGAGAUGUACCUUCAAUAGAAAACCUUGUUUUUCUUUUGCUUGCAUUUUUUUGCAAAAAGGAAACAAAAACAUAAUGGAAAAAGAAAAAGGUGUUCCCAUGUGCGUGCACGCACAUUUGUAUGUGUACUUUGUCAACUUACUGUGGAUUCACUGCUUCUCCAUAACAGAGAAAACAAACCAACCCAAGUGGAAUGGACGGUACAUUCAUAACCUCCAGUGGAACUGGGGGGUGUGGGGGAAGGGACCAGUGACUGGCUUUGCUUUCUGUCUGGAUCAAUUGCACCUGGAAUGUUUAAUGAGAAAUAAGAGAAAAAUAAAGCAAGCCCAACUCUCAAUGUUUUGCAAACUUGGAGGAAGAAUCAAAGGAACAGUCAGGUUGGAUACUGCACAGGUUUCAUAUGGGAUUAUUAUGAGAUGCACAGUGUUUGUUACGGGAUUGUUGACUGCAGAGGCAACAAGAAAAGAAGACGGAGAGAGACACUCUGGAAAAUAGACUGGUUAGUCCUCUAGCAUCUCUGUGAUCUGCAAAAGAUGGCUAUGGAGAACUUUUUUUUUUCCAUCGUGUGGACCUAAGGAUUUUGCUAUUAAGUUACUGACUUAGGUUUCAUGGCUUCAGAGGAAAAAAAGCAGAAACAGCUGUGUUUGCUCUCUACCUUCAAAAUUUCUGGAAAUUGUACAGCUCUACUCUCUUCCACAUACUGCAUAGAUGCACUUAUACAGCCGAACACCACUGGAGCUGAUCUUCAGUCUGGGUGUAAUAUUGGAGGUGGAGUAAAGGUAGUUCUAUCACUGGACAAAUAUUCUAAGCAAAAGUCAUUCUGCCUGGUGGCCUGUACCUCUCCUCUGUGCUCUUUCAUGGGCACCAGAUGUCUUCUUUCUCCAUGUUGCAGUUUCAGAUGGGCCAUCUCCUGUGACCACUGCACCCCCAAUCCCUGGAAAGGUUUUCUAUGGGGCAUGAGGUUGGCUGCCCAGCAUCCUGAAACAGUGAGACAAGUACAUUCCUGUUCACACCAGCACGCUGGGUGAUGGGAUCUAGAGACACUUCCGAAGUAUUUGCACUAUCAUUAGGACACCUGGCCUUCUGGUUUGUCCCUUUCCUCCAGAGCUGAAUGCAUGAGUAGUGGGAGUUAUCUUUAUUUACUACCCUAUUCUUGCAAGAUGGGACUUAGCUUCCAAUAGCUAAGAACACCUCUUCCUGGAUUGGGAGGGCUGUGGCUGCUCAGAGUUGUGAGAUGGGAGAGCUGACAUCUAUCACUUCCUAAAGAGUUGUGGAGAGGGAAGAACCGGAUACCCAACGUGCAAGGGCAAAGACAAAGGAAUUAUAGGCCUCCAAGCAGAUUUCAGUGGAAAGUGGACCCUGGCACCUGGAUAUUCUUUACAUCGGCAGUUUUCGCUUUAGUUAGGAAAGUGUCACAAAGCUCAAAUGAAGAAUAGAUACUAACAAAUGCAAAAAUUAUCUUGUUUCAACUUGUAGAGUUUCCCCCAGAGAAACAGGCAAAGAAAAACUCCCCUUGUCUGACAGCAGAAGGGACUGUUCCAAGGCCUGUCUGAUAGACAAGCAUUAAUACCGUUUGGAAUAUUCACCACCAAAAUCUGUAUUCAAGCAUGUUGUCACACCAAAUACAACAUGCAUAUGAAACAUGCAUUCUGCAUACUAAUACACUGUGUCACUACAUUUCUAUUCACAAUUGGUAAGGGAUCCUUUGUGUUUUUAUUAUUUCUCUUUUAUUAGAAGAAAACUAAAGGUAUAAAGCAGCAUGACAGUGAAACUGACUAAAUAAAAAAAACUACAUUUAUGACUACCUUGCUGCUGCUUAUUAUGCAGGGUGGGAAUGCUCCUGAUAGGAAGUUGUCCCUCUAGCCUUGCUUUGCCUAGUUUCUAUGGUUUAUAUGUAGUGCAGGAACAGAACUGAGUUACAACCCUUCUUAAUGUGAAAUCAAUGGGUCCAAUUCUGCCCAUUGAAGUCCAUGGGCUCUGUACCCAUCUGGCUGAGAAUAAAAUUGACCCUUCUGCUUCCAAAGUAAUUUAGUUGUUCUAGGAUGCCAUGCUGUUUAACUCUACCUGAUUAUUUCCUGUGACAAAUUACCUUUGUUCCCUUCCCCACCUCUCAUAUUCGUUGUCACUGCAGGCAAAACCUGUGUUACUGGUCUUGACCACUUACUGAGCACUGGCAGUGUGCUAGAAACUAUAAAAACAUAAAGGAGAACAAGGAUCAAGCUCUUCCAAAAUAUCUCCUAACUGAGACUCCUAAAUUCACCUACAUAAAUGUAAGAGAUUUUCCAAAGUGCUGUGCACCUAGCGGCUUGCACUGGUACCAUAGAUUCACAGAUGUAAAGAUUGGUUAGCCAUGUAUCUUUCCCAGGGUCCAUUAACCAUCAUCCUAUUG
RNA transcript from Trachemys scripta elegans, 6362 nucleotides. It is a transcript of the gene named EPH receptor B1, with no coding region annotated. The record is from RefSeq and is a predicted model, not a curated record. The transcript is spliced from 17 exons. Lineage: Eukaryota; Metazoa; Chordata; Testudines; Emydidae.